GUAAUAAACGAUUUCUAUUAAUCAUAAAAUGCUAUUAUCGGACCAUUUUAUUCUGACAGGAAAGGGCUGACAUAUAUAUUCUAUUCUGCUGUUGUCGGUUAUAUGGUCGGGUUGUUGUCUCUUUGACACAUUCCCCAUUUCCAUUCUCAAUUUUAUGUAUUAAUAUAUAUGCCUACUGAAUUUUUCUGGACAAGAAGCUUAAAAAUUGCCGCUACCAGAUUUCCUACAAUAAAAAUGUACAACCAAAAAGACCAAAAUAUUCACGAGUCCCUCGAUCUCAAAAGCUGCUUAAUGCCCCGUACUCCCGAUAUGAACCCCACCUGGUGCCACACCUCCUUAUAGCCCGGCA
This 349-nucleotide long non-coding RNA is filed under the name Mytilus galloprovincialis (Mediterranean mussel). The record is from RNAcentral. Lineage: Eukaryota; Metazoa; Mollusca; Bivalvia; Mytilida; Mytilidae.